This 253-nucleotide ribosomal RNA is filed under the name uncultured bacterium. Its description in RNAcentral is "partial 16S ribosomal RNA". It matches the Rfam family "Bacterial small subunit ribosomal RNA", at positions 524 to 776 of the family's 1533-position model. The record is from RNAcentral.
UACGUAGGGUGCGAGCGUUGUCCGGAAUUAUUGGGCGUAAAGAGCUCGUAGGCGGUCUGUCGCGUCGGAUGUGAAAACUCGGGGCUCAACCCCGAGCCUGCAUUCGAUACGGGCAGACUAGAGUUCGGUAGGGGAGACUGGAAUUCCUGGUGUAGCGGUGAAAUGCGCAGAUAUCAGGAGGAACACCGGUGGCGAAGGCGGGUCUCUGGGCCGAUACUGACGCUGAGGAGCGAAAGCGUGGGGAGCGAACAGG